This is an RNA transcript of Ixodes scapularis (black-legged tick), 2516 nucleotides long. It is a transcript of the gene named probable proteasome subunit beta type-5, with no coding region annotated. The transcript is spliced from 6 exons. The record is from RefSeq and is a predicted model, not a curated record. NCBI's taxonomy places the organism in Eukaryota, Metazoa, Arthropoda, Arachnida, Ixodida, Ixodidae.
UGCAAGUGUUGAUUUCUUUUUGUGUGAUGGCCCACGAAAGUAUCUUGCGGUUGGGUUUUCGCGCAGGUUUCGGCGAAGCGUCCCUAGAUCAAGAGGAUUUGCAACGCUUUGACGAUGCUUUUGCCGUUGGAAGCAGACGAAGGUUCGUUAUGACAAGGGCACAAGUACCUUCAAGUACAAAGGAGGAGUCGCCGUUGCUGCCGAAUUACGAGCUACGGGGGGCGAAUACAUCGGAUUUACGAGCUGAGAAACCAAGAGGGGAUCGCUAUUGCUGCUGCUUCAAAAUUGCUCGCCAAUAUCUUGUAAAACUACAAAGGAUGCCAUGAUCUUUGGCUGGGACAAGCGGGUAAGAUCUCUCACAUAUAGGUUAUACUGCAUUGCCAGAUUUUAGAAGGAUUCAGUGUCAUUUAUUACCUGUUUGGGAAACUGGGUCAAUUUACCAACAUUUGAAAAAUAAUUUAGCCAUUAAAUUAUAAGCAACUAUAAUGUUUGUGAUGCAAGUGUGUUGAGGGUUGCCACCUACCCGGUUUUCAGCUGGCAAGGCCGGUUUCCGUGUUUUCAACAAGCGUUUUUUCUUUUUAGUAUUCAAGUGCAGUUUUUUUUUUGUUUCGUUUUUUAAACAUUUAUACACAUUAAACCACCAUCUACCACAAAAUAUGUUUGUCGAUGGCAAGAAAAAAGAAAAACAAAAUGUCACAAUGUACGAGAAAAAUCCGCUGAGGACUCCCCAGUAGAAAAACUCAGCGAGUGAGCGCGCAAGCUUGCGAAACGACGACGUCGUUUAAAAUUUGCGGGUAGAAAAAAAAACAAAGUAAAAGAAACAGAUAAUGCAACUCAAAAGUCGCAAAGACCACCGAGCGGCUGUGGUAGCAAGAGGCCUAGCCCUGAGAUGAUCAGGGAAACGGUAAAAAGCAGGAAGCCGGCACCUGUGGGGGCACGGGGAAUACAGGACUGUCCUGCCCUCCCUCUAGUUGUGCCUCCUGGAAUGUGUUGGUUUUUCGACUUUUAACAGUUGUUCACAUCUUGGCAAAGACAUGCAUGGUGCUACCACUCAUCCACACAUGAAUGAUUGGCGGAAAAUUAAUGCGUCCUGCACUCUCGUAAGCGCUGCAGCCCUGGUAAUAGCGUGGAGGGCAGCCCGCAGUCUUUUUGCAGCUUGUUUACACUCUCUUCCUCUAUUGCGGUUUAACGUCCGACAGAGGGCUUAGACGGCAGGACGUACGUCCACUCCUAAGCUGGCAAUGCAGUGGGAGCUGCGCACUUGCCAGACCAAUCAGCCGCCUCUCUUUCGUCGUCUAACCUAGCUCUCUGCGCGUAGGUAUGAGCAGGAGCGUGACCACGUGACGAAAAAUAAAUGUGCGACUGAUCAAACAUGCACAUAGCUUCUAUCACUCUGCCAGCUUAGAGGUGUACGGGGUCUACAUCUGUUUACGUCAUCACGAAGCAGCAGGUAUCAUUCGGGUCAUGGUUUUAAAAAAAGAGGGGGGGGGGGGGGGGGGGUAAUUCUAGCUUUUGCCUUAGUGCCGGCGCCCGAGGCACGCAACGACACGUCUCCAGAGCCGGUGGAAUGCUGGCUUUGAUUCUCUCACUCGUAGCAGUGCAAAGAAUAUUGGUCAGCUACUUUCCUGAUAUGUGCUUUAUCCUAACGAAAUCUCGCUUCCUCCCUACUGUUACCUUCCCUCUCCCCAGACAACUACAAAGCUGGCUUCGGGAGGGACGCAGCCGGGGUUGUUGUGCAGUAACUCAUUCGACUUAAGAUCUCCAAGUCAUUGGUGUAGUGGAGAGGUCGCACUCCCUGCCAGCGUGAGCCAUGCUAUAUUUCAAGCACUUCCUUUCAUUCUAAUCGCAACACAUGCAAGAAGUUGAGUAACUAAAGCAUCACGUCUGGGCUCCUUGAACCUUACUUCUAUUUUAAUUUAAGUUAGUCUUUCUUGUAACACUUUUUGUUUUUAUCAGUGGUUUAACUUUAAAGGGAAACUGAAGCGGUUCUGGGUUUGAGAAAAAAAAAAACACAUAAAUAGUCUUCAUUCGGCCUUCAGGAUCACAAAUACAAAAAAUUAUAUUUCAGAUUGAUGCUUCAGGUAGCCACAACAAGAUUUUCUCUAUACCGCUGAAGCCCCUCUUUCCCGGCCCUUUUGGUGGGAGGAGGGAAUCGUGACGGGAUUAUUCAACAUGUUCUCCUCUGGCUUUGGGCCGACAUACUCAAUUCGGUGUCCUGGACAAUGGCUACAAGUUUGACAUGGACGACCAAGAGGCCUUGGAGCUUGCCCACAAGGCUAUCCACCACGCCAUCUUCAGGGACCUUGCGAGCGGUGGCAUUGUGAGAGUUUACCAAGUGUAUCUCUGAAGAAGACAGCAUGGAUCUGCACUACAAGUUUCAAGCAGAGAAGAUGCAGUGAUAUCUAUGUACUCAAGAUUGACUCAAGAGCAUCCACUGAAAAGAUGCAGCGCAAGUGAUAUACUCCUUUUUUGCGACGCGAGUGAAAACAAUAAAACUGCACUUUGAUGCACGUUCA